Molecule: ribosomal RNA, 495 nt
Filed under: uncultured Burkholderia sp.
Lineage: Bacteria; Pseudomonadati; Pseudomonadota; Betaproteobacteria; Burkholderiales; Burkholderiaceae
Description: bacterial SSU rRNA
Rfam family: Bacterial small subunit ribosomal RNA
Source: RNAcentral
CGGAACAUGUCCUGUAGUGGGGGAUAGCCAGGCGAAAGCCGGAUUAAUACCGCAUACGAUCUGAGGAUGAAAGCGGGGGACCUUCGGGCCUCGCGCUAUAGGGUUGGCCGAUGGCUGAUUAGCUAGUUGGUGGGGUAAAGGCCUACCAAGGCGACGAUCAGUAGCUGGUCUGAGAGGACGACCAGCCACACUGGGACUGAGACACGGCCCAGACUCCUACGGGAGGCAGCAGUGGGGAAUUUUGGACAAUGGGCGAAAGCCUGAUCCAGCAAUGCCGCGUGUGUGAAGAAGGCCUUCGGGUUGUAAAGCACUUUUGUCCGGAAAGAAAUCCUUGGUUCUAAUAUAGCCGGGGGAUGACGGUACCGGAAGAAUAAGCACCGGCUAACUACGUGCCAGCAGCCGCGGUAAUACGUANGGUGCAAGCGUUAAUCGGAAUUACUGGGCGUAAAGCGUGCGCAGGCGGUUUGCUAAGACCGAUGUGAAAUCCCCGGGCUC